Odontomachus brunneus is the source of this 1136-nucleotide long non-coding RNA. RefSeq lists it as uncharacterized. Lineage: Eukaryota; Metazoa; Arthropoda; Insecta; Hymenoptera; Formicidae. The record is from RefSeq and is a predicted model, not a curated record. The transcript has 4 exons.
GUAUCGUCACGCAUGCGCAGAACGUCUCUUGCCGCGGAAAAAAUUUCGUUAACUGUCAGCACUGAUUUCGUGCAGAAUUCGACGUGUCUUCGUUCGAUCGGGGGAAACGAGCGAUCGGCGAGCGAUUAAUUUUUUCCACACCACGGCCGCAGCAGAUUCUACCUAAUGGUCUUUCCCUAUGUGUCCGCGUCCGAGACUACCGGGGCCACUCGCUGCAACGUUUCGCGCGGAGGAUCUAUUUAUCAAGGGAUACGUUGCCGACGCUUUGCGCUCCGGUCCUUUUGAACGCUCGCGUUUAUCCGGUUCGCAAAAACGACGGAGGAAGAAUCGCUGACGAUGAAAGGAAGAGAAUCAACAGAGUGAAAUGGAAACUGUGGGAGGAGCGCUUCGUCGUCGCCGUUUAAAAAAUGGAUAGAGGAUUCAUAGGAGCAGCGAAGAGCACGACAUAGAUGAGCCGCUCGAGCAGUUAGCGAUCGCGUCUCAAGAUCGAUCGUCCACCUAAUUCACUACUGCCAGGACUUGAAGAGGAAGCUCGACGAGAGGAGGCCGACGAGAGUCGCCCAUCCGACGAGGAGAUCGAGUGCGCCCCUUCUGGUUCCGGUCGCGCCGCCGUUCAUGCAAGUUUCCCGAAUGCUGACGAUCUUCAGGCUACGGCGGCCCAGCAGAUUGUGAACGCCUCGUUUGUCGCUCUUCUGCAGAGUAUGCUCCCGCGACAGUAGGAGCGAGUAGAGCUGAAUGUUCCCGGGAUUCCGGGAACAGAAAGUCAACACCAUGUCCGAGGCCACAGCCUUCAUUACGUGCACGGUUCCCACGAACUGGUUGUAGUUCUUCUCCGCCAGGGUACCUGCCAAUUAAAUCAGCAGCUGGUUAAAAAGCGCGCCGCCACGUCACAGCUUGUGCAGAGCCUGCUAACAAAUUUCCGCUUUUCGAAUCCAUCGAGCAGAAUCUCUCGCGCGAAUGGAAGCUCGUACAAGAAAGGAGAAAUGAACGUGUCAUCGAUGUCGACGGCGCGUUUAUCUUCAUUUUGGCCCGGUGCUCUUUGUGUUUUCUCUCUUUUCUGUAUUUUUUUUUUUUUUUAUGAAAUACACGAAUAUUCUCAUAUAUGCGCGAGAAAUAGACGGAAAUUCUCGAAAUGA